UAGGUAUGAAAAGUUAUGAAUGGGACUUAGUUAAAAUGCAAGAAAGGAGCUAAACUAAUCUUGACAUUUAUUAGGUAUGAAAAGUUAUGAAAGGGACUUAGUUGAAAUGCAAGAAAGGAGCUAAACUAAUCUUGACAUUUAUUAGGUAUGAAAAGUUAUGAAAGGGACGUGGUUGAAAUGCAAUGAAGGAGCUAAACCAAUCUUAAUUCAUUUAUCAGUUAUUCAUGAUGAUCCAUUGCAAAAUUAGAGCAAAGUGACAUACGUCCGUUAGCAGCAGGAGACCAGCGUAAAAUAGAAGCAAGAAUUCUGAUGAGAAAUUAGAUCAACAUUGACUAAUUAUAAAUUGCUCUUUCAUUAUUUUAAACGAAUUCGCGAUGAAGA
Long non-coding RNA from Argiope bruennichi, 381 nucleotides. RefSeq lists it as uncharacterized. Lineage: Eukaryota; Metazoa; Arthropoda; Arachnida; Araneae; Araneidae. The record is from RefSeq and is a predicted model, not a curated record. The transcript is spliced from 4 exons.